Molecule: non-coding RNA, 96 nt
Submitted as: unclassified sequences
Source: Rfam
AACCUCGCCCCUUGGCGAAAAAUAAACUAAAGGCUAAGGUACUGGUAGACCGUGAAUCGGGCCGAACGUAACGAGGUCAGAAGAAAAAGCAGACAA